UUGGGUGGUUUGGGGUUUGUCGGAUUUGGACGUAACUGUUCCCUACUUUCUGUUCUUGCAGCCAUUGGUUAUAGGGAAGUGAAUUUUUGUUUUCAUGGAGCGGCCAUGUUUGUCUGCUUGUGUUGAGGUUUCUUAGUUAAGUCUUUUAUGAGUAUCGAGAUUAUGGAUUCAGUUUUCUUCCUUAUAACUAAGGGUCUUGUAUGGAAGUUCUCAACUAAGAUAUUAAUUUUCUCCGGCAUGUGUUGUAGUUUGCUGCCAUGAGGUUUUUAGUCUAUACGACUUAUGUUCUUCGAUGAUCCAAUUGAUGAGGUCUCAUAUGGCUAUCGACACUUGAUAAGUACUCGGCCAAUUGUAGAUCUUUUGAUAGUUGCGUAAAAUACUUCUUCAGUUUUAUUAUUGCAGCUACUUAUCUUCUCCACUUCCAUUUCUUUUUCGUUAUAGUUAUUUUUGGUUGGAUGGAUGUGUAGACCAUGUGGUGACACUGUUAUGGACGUUAGAUUUGGAAAUUUCAAAGCUUGGUUAACCAACAUGUGAUCCUCUGCCACCUUUUGUCUUUUUUUUUAUGCUUGCACGACAAUCUUGAUGUUAUUUGAGUUUUGACCAAAGGUGGUUUGUUCGUUAGAUUUUCUCUCAAUUGUUCCCUUCUUUCUAUUCUUGCACCCAUUGGUUUACAGGCAGUGGAUUAUUCUUUUGACGGAGCGGCUGUGUUUGUCCGUUUGUGUCGAGGUUUUUUUAGUAAAGUCUUUUAUGAAUAUUGAGAUUUCGUUUCAGAUAUGUUUCCUAAUGGCUCUUCUGUCUUUGUCAAAACUACUGUUGUAUGGAUGUUUCUCAAAUACGACAUUAUUUUUCACCGGAGUGUGUAAUCUGCUGCCAUAAAGUUUUAAGUCCAGAUGCUUUUGUUCUUCGAUGAUCCAAUUAAUGACAUCUCCUAUGACUAUGGAC
RNAcentral lists this long non-coding RNA (942 nucleotides) under Solanum tuberosum (potato). Its description in RNAcentral is "long non-coding RNA (STUB_LNC000147)". Lineage: Eukaryota; Viridiplantae; Streptophyta; Magnoliopsida; Solanales; Solanaceae. The record is from RNAcentral.